CGCCCACCUUGACACUGCGUGUCCAUCUCCCGCAGCAGCGACACGUUGCGCUGGAUGUCCAGCGGCAGCGACUCCACGCACUCCAGAUGUCACCUUUUGCAACUUACAGGCUCAUCGCAAAAGGCUGGCAACUCAGUAACAGGUCAAAAAGGUCGAUAUUUACUGCCGUUUAAGUUUUAUAUGUGAUGUUAAAGCCUUACCCUUUGCCCUGUCCUCUCAUUUGCUUGGAAUGUGUUUUGGCAUAUGAAAUCAUAAUCUGUCAGUGCCAAAGCUUCAUCUCUCAAAGUGCUCCUUUGCAAAGGCAUUGUAUCUGAAAGGAGGUGAAUGGGAGAAAGUUUUACUGCAACAAAAUUUAUAUGCACAUUAAGUUGUUUGCAGAUGGCAUGUAUAUUUAUUUCCCAAACAUUGUUGUGAGCUAUAUCCAUUUCUGUAACAGUUUAUUUCUGAAGAGCUGUUUUCAUCAUGAGGAGAGGUUGGUACUGACAGCACAGUUACAGGCUAUAUGCAGGGAAGAUGUCACUUUCUGUUACACUAGAGUGUGCUCCAAAGACAAUUUUUUCUCACAGUAUCAGUUGAUACAGUGAGACAUCCCAUUAAUUCAUAUCUUUGAACUGUAAGAAGCAGUAGUUUAGACUAUUCUUGCCCACAGUAAGAGCUACCUUAUUUAGCUUUAAAGAAGAGCAAAAUAAUGAUUCAUGAUAAACUAUUACUUAUGGAAGCUCAGUGACAUUUUAUCCUGAGGAAUCAUUUGAGAGAAUUUUAAAUAAGGCAUCAAAGAAGUUUAGUCUUUUAAAACCCACUUGCCUGCCAACAAAUCUCCAGUUUUGACAGAGUAUCCUGUGUCCCUGAAGGCUGAUGCAGAAUUUGUUAUCAAGUGAUGGCCACGAUAAAUAUGGCACCUGAAAAAAAAGUGAGAAAAAAAUACAAGACCUUGCAAGCUUUGAAAAAACAGCAAAGAUGACUGAAUUCAAGGGGAAGAAUAAAUACCUUGUCUCUUAUAUUCCUGCAUAUAGGGCACAGAAUAUCUAUAAGAAGCACAUUCUUUCUUCUUCCAUUUGUGAGGAACAGCUGUACACACCAACACACCUUUGUUACAAAGUUUGUGAAACAAAAGCAUGCAGUGUACCUGCAGGAAGUUUCAGUAGUUGAUGGUUUAGGACAGUCAUCAUACUCUCCUGUGUGUGGAUGUUCAUUUUCCCCUCCACAUCAGAAAAUAAAAGUGGGAUUCAUCAGACCAAAUGUGGAUAUCUACAGUUAAGGCUGAGAGAACCUUAGCAUAAAUAUGUCUUGUCCUAAAAAUGUCCGUGUUGACCAAAGAGGGAGCCUGGGUCUGUUGUCUGAGAUGGCAGUGAAAUUAAUUCCACUCUCUAUUCUGAAAUGUGGUAACUAUGAGCCCAUAGUUACCAUUUAUGAAUUUGAGAUUGUAUGAAUUACAGAAAUCCCCCAGAAAGCUGUAGAGAGGUUUUGGCAGCUCUAAGUGUGCUUUGUUAAAACACCACACCAAACACAAGGAAGCCUCAUUUAAUUUCCUUGUUAUUGAGGGUUUUUUUUCCUCUCUCUCUUUGGAAACUGCUUAUCCAAAUCUAGUAGAAAUGAUUUCUCUCUAGUACAAUUGAAAAGUCACUGCAAACAGUACUGAAGAACAAUUUCAUAUCUUUGAAAUAAUUUUCUAGCACCAAAUUACAGAGUGUUUCUUAGGGAUGCUACUGCUAUGCAAAUUCUUCAGUGACAAAACUUACUUCUCAUUACCAAAACUGAAUAUUAUUCUAUGCUAACAUAUGACUGAUAUACACAUUUCUUUCAAGAACUGAAAGUCUAUAUUUGCUUUAUUAUUCAGUUCUGAUUGGGAGAAAUACUGUUUAAACAACAUAAAUAGAUUCCUAGCCUCUCACCCCUCCUCUUCCCCAAAAUAAUAAAAUGACGUGACAUUUGUUACAAACUAAGCAAGGAUUUUUGGUUGGAAAGCUGUCGUCAAAAUAUUGGCAGCAUCUAACUGAAUUUAGUCUGUCUCUUAAACUGCAGUUAAAAUAUAAAACACCAAAGGAUUUAGAAAAACUGGCAAGCAUUGGUUAAAUCUGUUUUUCUUGCAAAUAACAGUAUUUUUCCCAGUGUGAAUUCAUCUCUGUCAGACGCAUUUAGAAGAAGUAGUUUUGCAGUUCACUUGAGCCUAACUAUUAAUGUUACUUGACUAUGAAUGACAAUUCUUUAAGGGGUUGUCGUUUCAGAUGUCAGAACUGAACAAUUCAUUUUCAGCUGCAGGAAUAUUACCGGAGGAAGAAAAUACCUAACUGGAAACACUGAAAGCCAGUCUUGCAUUGCCUUAGCAAUAGAUAGCUGUGCCCACAAAUGAUCACACCCCAUUUUCAUAUUAUCCUUCAGCAUAUUUGAAAAUAUUACCAACUGUCAAUAUAAAACCUGAGUUUCUAAACAAUUAUAUGUGUGUGUCUUAAAAGCAUGUAGAAACCCCUGCUUUCAUUUAUUAAAGGCCAGCCAUAUAUUUGCUAGGCACAUACAAGUACUGAUAAUACUCCAUUCAGGCCAUCCUUUUAUUAGCAAGUAUCCUAGGUCAGUCCCAGCAGUCACAGGUAGAUGUUCAUUAAAAUCACAUAGUUUUAAAUUAAUGCAAGGAAGGCAAGUGAAAUUAGUCAUAGCUUAAAAUACUGAUAUU
This is a long non-coding RNA of Dromaius novaehollandiae (emu), 2668 nucleotides long. RefSeq lists it as uncharacterized. Lineage: Eukaryota; Metazoa; Chordata; Aves; Casuariiformes; Dromaiidae. The record is from RefSeq and is a predicted model, not a curated record. The transcript is spliced from 4 exons.